Molecule: long non-coding RNA, 1060 nt
Filed under: Homo sapiens (human)
Lineage: Eukaryota; Metazoa; Chordata; Mammalia; Primates; Hominidae
Description: HSALNT0108217
Source: RNAcentral
AUAAACAUAAAACAGGUUUAUUUCAACUAUAGACACAAAGCAAACAUUUUUGUUGUGCAUUCCUUGACUAAGGCCUUUAACCAUAAGCUAUGUAAUACCAGACUAGAUCACUAUUGACCGUCCCUCACCUUCCUAAACUGUGCUUAGUGACAGCCGCUGACAAACCUGAGGAAUAGGGAAGCCAACAAUUACACAGUCCCAAACAAACAUGGUAUACAACCAAACCUCCACAAUUUUACCAUCUCUUUCUUCUUUUUCUAUCUAUCUGCCUGUCUCUGUCCCCUUCUCUUUCUCUGUUUUAUGCACACACACACACACACACACACACACACACAGACACACACGCUUCCUUCUCCCUCCCGUCCUUUGCUGAUGUGUCUGGGAGGGGGGCUGAAUCAGGAGCAGGGGGGCUGGUCCCUGGCUUGGCUUUUUUUCUGGGUCACCUCUUGCUGACCCCCAGGUGCUCAGUUCUCUUCUCCGGUGCCUUGUUCAGCCCCCUUUGCUCUUGCUUCUUCAUUUUUUUUCUGAUGUGAAAACAUCCUGGGAAAUUUGCAUAUUUGGCUGUAGUCAGGAGGUCUUGGACAGGGUUUAGUGACUGUGUUGGAACCAUUUGCUAUUCUCUCACUAAUCCCAUAGACAGGAGAUGGGGGAGUGAGGGUGGGUGGAAUCUCACCACUGCCCCCUGAGAGGGAGUAACUGAAUCAAUAGCACUGUAGCUGUUUCCAUCUGUCAGGGUGACAUGCCAACUGGCUAAUGCUGAAUUAUUGAUACUCCUUCCCAAAGUGAGUUAACCAAACAAUUCAAAAUCAGUGAAAAGGGGGUGGUCGAUUGCAAAUGAGGUUAAGUCCAUUUUGUCACAAGGACAGGAAGCUGAUGGCUGCCUCCAAGCCAAAUCUGCUUGAUUUAUGUUAUUGCUGAGAGGCCUGGUCAGUGGCAGAAUGGGAAGCAACCCUCAUCCUCUGACUCCCAAUCCAUGGCAUUGCACCAACAAAUAAAUCAGCACACUUAGGGCAAUGCUGAAGAGACUGGGAAAUGCCUAAUCCGGACAGAGCUUCUGCAA